Molecule: ribosomal RNA, 500 nt
Filed under: uncultured bacterium
Lineage: Bacteria
Description: partial 16S ribosomal RNA
Rfam family: Bacterial small subunit ribosomal RNA
Source: RNAcentral
AUUGAACGCUGGCGGCAUGCCUUACACAUGCAAGUCGAACGGCAGCACGGGUGCUUGCACCUGGUGGCGAGUGGCGAACGGGUGAGUAAUACAUCGGAACGUACCUUAUCGUGGGGGAUAACGCAGCGAAAGCUGUGCUAAUACCGCAUAAGCCCUGAGGGGGAAAGCGGGGGAUCGAAAGACCUCGCGCGAUUAGAGCGGCCGAUGCCUGAUUAGCUUGUUGGUGGGGUAAAAGCCCACCAAGGCGACGAUCAGUAGCUGGUCUGAGAGGACGAUCAGCCACACUGGGACUGAGACACGGCCCAGACUCCUACGGGAGGCAGCAGUGGGGAAUUUUGGACAAUGGGGCAACCCUGAUCCAGCAAUGCCGCGUGAGUGAAGAAGGCCUUCGGGUUGUAAAGCUCUUUUGUCAGGGAAGAAACACCGGCUCUAACACAGUCCGGGAAUGACGGUACCUGAAGGAUAAGCACCGGCUAACUACGUGCCAGCAGCCGCGGUAA